RNAcentral lists this RNase P RNA (420 nucleotides) under Bacteroidota bacterium. RNAcentral's name for it is "Bacteroidetes bacterium (freshwater metagenome) RNase P RNA component class A". It matches the Rfam family "Bacterial RNase P class A". From Rfam's summary of the family: Ribonuclease P (RNase P) is a ubiquitous endoribonuclease, found in archaea, bacteria and eukarya as well as chloroplasts and mitochondria. Its best characterised activity is the generation of mature 5'-ends of tRNAs by cleaving the 5'-leader elements of precursor-tRNAs. Cellular RNase Ps are ribonucleoproteins. The record is from RNAcentral. Lineage: Bacteria; Pseudomonadati; Bacteroidota.
GCAACAGCCCGUUCUAUCGCUGGUUUCGUCACUUGUGGCGCGAUUCGGAGGAAAGUCGGGACAACUCAGGGCACCAUACUUCCUAACGGGAAGGCUUCGCGGCUGAACACCGUGAAGACAGACAGUUCCACAGAAAAGAUACCGUCUCGUCUCGUCAUUAAUGACGAGACGAGAUAAGGGUGAAAACGCGAGGUAAGAGCUCACGCACCGGUAUGGUAACAUAACGGUAGGGAAAACCUUAUGGGUUGAAAGGUCAAAUAUACCGGGUAUCCGUCAGCUGACGGAUAAGGGCUGCCCGCCCGACGCCCGGGGGGUAGGCCGUUAGAGGCAGGCAGUGAUGCCUGUCCCAGAUAAAUGAUAGAAGCUUUCCCGGGUAAUUCCGGGGAAGAACAGAAUCCCGCUUAUAAGGCUGUUGCACCC